This 491-nucleotide ribosomal RNA is filed under the name uncultured bacterium. RNAcentral describes it as "partial 16S ribosomal RNA". It matches the Rfam family "Bacterial small subunit ribosomal RNA", at positions 29 to 507 of the family's 1533-position model. The record is from RNAcentral.
AGUGAACGCUGGCGGUAGGCCUAACACAUGCAAGUCGAACGGCAGCACAGUAAGAGCUUGCUCUUACGGGUGGCGAGUGGCGGACGGGUGAGGAAUACAUCGGAAUCUACUUUUUCGUGGGGGAUAACGUAGGGAAACUUACGCUAAUACCGCAUACGACCUACGGGUGAAAGCAGGGGAACUUCGGACCUUGCGCGAUUGAAUGAGCCGAUGUCGGAUUAGCUAGUUGGCGGGGCAAAGGCCCACCAAGGAGACGAUCCGUAGCUGGUCUGAGAGGAUGAUCAGCCACACUCGAACUGAGACACGGUCCAGACUCCUACGGACGCAGCAGUGGGGAAUAUUGGACAAUGGGCGCAAGCCUGAUCCAGCCAUACCGCGUGGGUGAAGAAGGCCUUCGGGUUGUAAAGCCCUUUUGUUGGGAAAGAAAAGCAGCAGGUUAAUACCCCGCUGUUCUGACGGUACCCAAAGAAUAAGCACCGGCUAACUUCGUG